Molecule: ribosomal RNA, 467 nt
Filed under: uncultured bacterium
Lineage: Bacteria
Description: partial 16S ribosomal RNA
Rfam family: Bacterial small subunit ribosomal RNA
Source: RNAcentral
GAUGAACGCUGGCGGCGUGCUUAACACAUGCGAGUCGAACGGAAAGGCCCAAGCUUGCUUGGGUACUCGAGUGGCGAACGGGUGAGUAACACGUGGGUGAUCUGCCCUGCACUUCGGGAUAAGCCUGGGAAACUGGGUCUAAUACCGGAUAGGACGAUGGUUUGGAUGCCAUUGUGGAAAGUUUUUUCGGUGUGGGAUGAGCUCGCGGCCUAUCAGCUUGUUGGUGGGGUAAUGGCCUACCAAGGCGUCGACGGGUAGCCGGCCUGAGAGGGUGUACGGCCACAUUGGGACUGAGAUACGGCCCAGACUCCUACGGGAGGCAGCAGUGGGGAAUAUUGCACAAUGGGCGCAAGCCUGAUGCAGCGACGCCGCGUGGGGGAUGACGGCCUUCGGGUUGUAAACUCCUUUCGCUAGGGACGAAGCGUUUUGUGACGGUACCUGGAGAAGAAGCACCGGCUAACUACGUG